UACGGGGGGGGCAAGCGUUGUUCGGAAUUACUGGGCGUAAAGGGCUCGUAGGCGGCCAACUAAGUCAGACGUGAAAUCCCCAGGCUCAACCUGGGAACUGCGUCUGAUACUGGAUGGCUUGAAUCCGGGAGAGGGAUGCAGAAUUCCAGGUGUAGCGGUGAAAUGCGUAGAUAUCUGGAGGAAUACCGGUGGCGAAGGCGGCAUCCUGGACCGGCAUUGACGCUGAGGAGCGAAAGCUAGGGGAGCAAUCGGG
Molecule: ribosomal RNA, 253 nt
Filed under: uncultured bacterium
Lineage: Bacteria
Description: partial 16S ribosomal RNA
Rfam family: Bacterial small subunit ribosomal RNA
Source: RNAcentral